CUCUCUCUCUCUCUCUCUCUCUCUCUCUCUCAUUUCUUCUUCUCUCUUCUCUCUCAUCAAACCCUAAAAAUGUAUGGAAAAAAGCCACAGACCCCGCCACACUUAAACCCUUGGCUGACGACUAGAAGUGCCAGCCCUUCAACCACCGUCUCCGUAACUGUGGAACAAAAUUGUUGAAUCAUGGGACUGUUUUGAUUCUAUGGUCUUUGUGUUAGCAUUUGAUUUCGAAUCAGAGACUGUUUUGUUUCGAUAGUUCAUUGCAACAUUUUAAAUUGGUUCAGAAUAAAGUUACAACAUUAGUUUUACUGUUUAAACACGGUAUAAAAUAGAGAUUGAGGUUGUCAUCUAAUCACCUCCAAGGUGCUGUGUUUGAAAAACACCUAAAUUAUGGUGGUAACUGGCAGUUGUCCACCUCUCAACCAAACCCAUGCUUGUAGCAAUUAUAUCAAAGGAUUUUAAUUACGACUGCGAAUAAGCCGGUUAGAGUGCACGACUUAAAGUAUGCUGGUUUAGAUGUUGCGUCGAAGUUGUCAACUCUGAGGUCCGAACUUGCUAAGGCUGGUUCAUCUGCAAUUAUCGUCUCUGCGCUUGAUGAAAUUGCGUGGCUGUUGAACUUGAGAGGCAGCGAUAUCCCACAUUCACCUGUCGUGUAUGCAUAUUUGAUUGUGGAGAUUGAUGGAGCUAAAUUAUUUAUCGACAAUUCAAAAGUUACUGAAGAGGUGGAUGACCACUUGAAGAAAGCAAACAUAGAGAUCAGGCCAUACAAUUCAAUUA
Long non-coding RNA from Vicia villosa (hairy vetch), 774 nucleotides. RefSeq lists it as uncharacterized. The transcript is spliced from 4 exons. The record is from RefSeq and is a predicted model, not a curated record. Lineage: Eukaryota; Viridiplantae; Streptophyta; Magnoliopsida; Fabales; Fabaceae.